UACGUAGGGUGCAGGCGUUAAUCGGAAUUACUGGGCGUAAAGCGUGCGCAGGCGGUUAUGCAAGACAGAGGUGAAAUCCCCGGGCUCAACCUGGGAACUGCCUUUGUGACUGCAUAGCUAGAGUACGGUAGAGGGGGAUGGAAUUCCGCGUGUAGCAGUGAAAUGCGUAGAUAUGCGGAGGAACACCGAUGGCGAAGGCAAUCCCCUGGACCUGUACUGACGCUCAUGCACGAAAGCGUGGGGAGCAAACAGG
RNAcentral lists this ribosomal RNA (253 nucleotides) under uncultured bacterium. Its description in RNAcentral is "partial 16S ribosomal RNA". It matches the Rfam family "Bacterial small subunit ribosomal RNA", at positions 524 to 776 of the family's 1533-position model. The record is from RNAcentral.